Molecule: ribosomal RNA, 497 nt
Filed under: uncultured bacterium
Lineage: Bacteria
Description: partial 16S ribosomal RNA
Rfam family: Bacterial small subunit ribosomal RNA
Source: RNAcentral
GAUGAACGCUGGCGGCGUGCCUAAUACAUGCAAGUCGAGCGAACAGAUAAGGGGCAUGCUCCUUUGAGGUUAGCGGCGGACGGGUGAGUAACAUGGGGGUAAAAUAGCUAUAAGACUGGAAUAACUCUGGGAAACCGGGGCUAAUGCGGGAUAACAUUUAGAAUCGCAUGGUUCUAAAGUGAAAGAUGGUUUUGCUAUCACUUAUAGAUGGACCCGCGCCGUAUUAGCUAGUUGGUAAGGUAACGGCUUACCAAGGCAAGGAUCCGUAGCCGCCCUGAGAGGGUGGUCCGCUACACUGGCACUGAGACACGGUCCAGACUCCUACGGGAGGACGCAGUACGGAAUCUUACGCCAUGGACGAAUGCCUGACGUAGCACAGCCGCGUGAGUGCUGAAGGUCUUCGGCUCGUAAAACUAUGUUAUUAGGGAAGAACAAAUGUGUUAGUAACUGUGCACGUCUUGACGGUACCUAAUCAGAAAGCCACGGCUAACUACGUG